UCCCAUGUGGCUCAGCUGGUAAAGAAUCCGCCUGCAAUGCGGGAGACCUGGGUUCAAUCCCUGGGUUGGGAA
RNAcentral lists this transfer RNA (72 nucleotides) under Capra hircus (goat). It matches the Rfam family "tRNA". From Rfam's summary of the family: Transfer RNA (tRNA) molecules are approximately 80 nucleotides in length. Their secondary structure includes four short double-helical elements and three loops (D, anti-codon, and T loops). Further hydrogen bonds mediate the characteristic L-shaped molecular structure. tRNAs have two regions of fundamental functional importance: the anti-codon, which is responsible for specific mRNA codon recognition, and the 3' end, to which the tRNAs corresponding amino acid is attached (by aminoacyl-tRNA synthetases). tRNAs cope with the degeneracy of the genetic code in two manners: having more than one tRNA (with a specific anti-codon) for a particular amino acid; and 'wobble' base-pairing, i.e. permitting non-standard base-pairing at the 3rd anti-codon position. Lineage: Eukaryota; Metazoa; Chordata; Mammalia; Artiodactyla; Bovidae. The record is from Rfam by way of RNAcentral. RNAcentral also lists the same sequence under 1 other name.